UUGCUUCAGCAGCACAUAUACUAAAAUUGGAACGAUACAGAGAAGAUUAGCAUGGCCCCUGCACAAGGAUAACACGCAAAUUCGUGAAGCAUUCCAUAUUUUA
This is a small nuclear RNA of Callithrix jacchus (white-tufted-ear marmoset), 103 nucleotides long. The record is from Ensembl. Lineage: Eukaryota; Metazoa; Chordata; Mammalia; Primates; Cebidae.